UAGCUUGCAUCAGGAGUCCAAUUCAAGAAGGGCCUUUGAAGUUUGUAAAGUAAAGGUAAUUUUUUGCAUCUCUCGAGGUAAUGUGUAGAUUCUCCCUGCAUAAUGGUGUCCACUCCAACCUGGCAGCUAUUCAGAGGUUUCUAGGAAGCAUCUCAUAGUAGGCAGAAGUGUGUGGAGACAUGCAGGCUUUGAAAAUUGAAUUGGUGACACAUGAGAGGAAGAGAAGUUGGCUUCGCUGCAAAACUUUAGUAUGAACAAGGGGUAAUGACAUGAUAGCACUGUCCCAAACAAGCCUGAGACACUGUGAUUUUGGUUGAUGAAAACAACAGAUCUCAUUCUUGUUUGUGUGUGUGUGUGUGUGUGUUAAAUCAGAUCCUCCUUCCCUACCUUUGAACUUGGGUGAUUUGGAGUCAUUUAUGUGUAUUGCCUCAUGACUAAUUUUAUUAAACUUCUACCAAUCCAGUGAACACGAGCUCAGGCUGAAUGUGUCAUUACUCUAAAAAAUGUUUUAUCAUGCUGGCACCUUAACUUAUUACUUUAUCCUUUGCAUUGAAUUUCCCACACUUUAUUAAAAAAUAAUAUGACAACAGCAUUCCAAUUGUUACUGCAUUUUAUGACUGCAUAUUUGUUUUCACAGAAUUGAUUGAAGUGAUAAUGUGUAUUUUUUCAAUGCUUUAUGGAAAAUGAUUUCUUUCCCUUUGUCCAGAACUAAAGAAAAAAUUAUAGAUCAUAAUUAAAAUCUUCAUUUUUCUCUAUCCUACCAUGUUCCUUCUUUCUUUUUAUCUAACCUUUCUACU
RNAcentral lists this long non-coding RNA (797 nucleotides) under Sus scrofa (pig). RNAcentral's name for it is "lncRNA (ENSSSCG00015025606.1)". Lineage: Eukaryota; Metazoa; Chordata; Mammalia; Artiodactyla; Suidae. The record is from RNAcentral.